AAAAAAAUAAAUGAUUGACACUUCCUUUUAACCACGGGAAAUCAUAAAAUAAACAUUGAUUUAUCAUUUGAUGUUUUCUGUUAAAGCUUAAUUUUAGCGCAUCGCUUUUCAAGUUUUCUAAGUAGUAACUGGUCGCAGACCAACAAUAAUAUGACCCUGACGCGUAUGCAUUUAUCGUUAUUGUUCAUGUUCGAAAGCUUGAUAUAGUAUAAACGACUUAGGUGGAUCAAUGUGUAUUACGUACUUCAAAUACGUAUGAAGAUAUCUAUGUACUACGUAGAUACUUCAAACGACUAAUGAGGAUCUGUAUGUUCUAGGUAUUUCAAAUACUUAUGAGGAUUUCUAUGUACUAGGUACUUCAAACGACUUAUGAGGAUCUCUAUGUACUAGGUACUUCAAACGACUAAUGAGGAUCUCCAUAUACUAGGUAUUUCAAACGACUAAUGAGUAUCUCUAUAUUCUAGGUACUUCAAACGACUAAUGAGGAUCUCUAUAUUCUAGGUACUUCAAACUUCCUGCCGCGAGACAUUGGCUUCCGUACCGAGCAGUAUUGUGUGUCAUUGCAUUUGCUGGAUAGUCCCUGCGAUCGUGUGCUUUGUUGGUUUGCACUAUGAUGUGUAUGGAGAGACAACGAAGCUCUACAUGCCCCUGGGAUGUUGGAUUGACACGGAUGACACGCGGUUGAGUCACAAACAACAGGUGCUAUGGAUGAUGCUGACGAAGAUCGGAUGGGAAUGCGUCACUUUUCUUGUCGUUGCGGAGGUUGCGGUCUAUACGGCGUGGAGGCUCGUAGUUUUGCCGCUGUUGCACCCGAGAAAUAAUCACCCCAACUGUUCCGCCGUGUUCCGGGAUACUCGCUUGCAGAUACAUAACGGUCUCAGGCACGCGGACCGGAACUUCCUUUGGGCGUGGCUAAUAUUCUACGGCCUACGUGUAUGGGGCGUUGUGCGCUUCUUUCUUCUCUGGGCUUCUGAGUCCCAAAAUGUAUGUGAAGAAGCGGAUAUACUGGUGAUUGUUCAGGCCAUCUGCGAUCCCGGACAGGCGUUUAUCGACUUCCUCUUGUUUUGUGUUUUUGACAAAGACGUGCGCGGACAUUUCUGUGGCCACAAUUCGCGACGUCAAAGAGUAAACGAGCUCGCCGAGACGCACCCGAUACUGAGAAGAUCCACAUCAUUACCUCAAUCAUUUCUAUAGCUAUUUUAAUUGGAUUUUCUCUAUUACUUCUAGUUCUUCAUAUUCUCUUAUUCCUCCUUCUCAUUCUUCUUCUUCUUUCACUUCAUUGCCGUUGUGUUUCUUGAUCGUUUUUUUGCUUCAUAAUUUUCAUUAACUUUGUCUUCUUCUUUUUCUUCUGCUUCUUCUUCUUCAUCUUCCUCUUCCCAUGCAUAUCUUGCGUAUAUUAAAGGCUAAAUAUAUCAUUGUUCUUUAUGAUCAUGAACGCUUUAAUUGACUACAGUAAUAAAAUUAAUUUUGAUAAUCGAUUAAAACAAACUUUUUGAAACAGGUUAAGUGGUAUUUAGUUUAAAAUGGAUUUAAUGCAUUAGCUAAUUGUGUGUGUAUGAUAACAUAUAAUAUGAAAGCUUCUUUGUAGCGUAUUCAAAACUUUGGUGUUGUUUAUAAUACUUGAAAAAGAUAACAACGUACGGUUUAUAUGACCUUGGGCCAGUUGUGUAUGCACAUAUAAUCUAAUAAUAUGUGAGAAAGGUAUGUAAAACGAAAGAAGAAGCAACUUUGAUUCGGUAUGUAACAAUCUAUCAUUAUGUAGCAAUCAAUACCAACUUUCAUACAAUCGCCCAUAUCGCCGCUAUCAUGUACUAUAUCUAUAUAUAAUAAUGUCUAGAUAAACUGCACAGAUGGAGUAAACAUUUUGUGAGCAUGUAGUUUGCAAUAUAAGCAUGGGUUUAUAUAUUUUGCACACAAUAGUUAACGAUAAAUGAAUUGUACGUUGACGACCCACUAUAUUAAGAAUAUAAACAUGUACACUUGCUGAAAGUACAUAACUUGGUGUGAAAAUCGAAGCGCCAUAUUACUUUUACGUUGUACACCAAUCGUUGUUAUACACAAUUGUUCCAUUUUCGGAAGAUUAAUUAAAGGUAUGUCCAAUAUGGACGAUCAGUCGCCUUGCACGACUUCUGGGAAGCCGUGUUCUUUCCAAUUAUUGUUUACGUUCGUUUUAAAUAGCCAUGUUAGACUGGUAUUUUUCAUGCGUUUUCGAGAAAAGAUGUAACUAACGACUCCUGAUACACAGCGAGCUUUAGAUGCUGUGUCGCUUGAACUGUUUAUACGUCAUCUGUACUCCGAUGAGCUAGAAUAUGCUGAUUGGUUACUGCAAACGUUUUCAACUAAAACAUGUAUUCCGACGUAAAAUUAAAAGCCCACCUGCCUGAGAGAGAGUCUACAGAACAAAGUUUCCGGCAAGGCUGAGUCCUGCCUAAUUAAAUUCGAAUAUAUUGAAGGUGUGACGCAUGUGAUGACAAGUAUAUAAGGACAAAUCAGCGAGGGAAUAUCGAAAACUACAGAAACAUACUAGAUUGUCAUCUGAGUUAUCCCGCCUUUAAUCAGGGAGCUUCUCUAACAGCUAACCGGCAUUGAUUCAAGUAGACGAUACUAAACAACAAACAACAAUGCCUUCUUCAUCCGUGAAUAACACAUAUGUAAUACCUGAUUACGUCAUCAUCUGCACGUUCAUUAGUUGUGGACUUUCUCUCAUUGGCUGCAUGGGUUUGCUCGCGACUUACAUCAGAGUCAGUAUCAUACGUAACUACAUCAGACAGCUACUGAUGUUCCUCACACUGGCAAACUUCAUUCACGUCUGCGCGGACAUGACAGGCAUGUUCAUGUACGUGUCUAUGAGAUCAUACAACGACAGUACCAACCGAUAUUACGCGCGUUUUGACGAAAUGUGCGUCACGCAAGGAUUAAUGUCAUCCUAUGCGCCGAUGGUGGAGUUUCUAUGGUCCACUGUGAUUGCUGUGUAUUUCCAUGCAAACGUACUCCAUACAUCUGUGCACCAACAAUUUGCGACCACACGCAGCAAGCUUAUCAGCCAUUGCUGCUGUUGGAUUAUUCCAGCGAUCGUAUGUGCCUUUGGAUUGUACUAUGGUGUGUUUGGAGAGACACGAGACCUGUUCAUAUCGCCAGGCUGCUGGAUUGACACUGACUACCUGAGUAAAAACGAUCAGAUUUUGUGGAUGAUGCUGACCAAGAUUGGCUUGGAAUGCGUCACCUUUCUUGUUGUGACUGAGGUGGCGGUGUUUACCGGGUGGAAACUGCUUAUCCUUCCGAUAUGGAAACCAGGGACAAGGCCAUCUCAAGUGUGGGGACGUGUUUAAGAACACGUCAGUGCAGGCGCCCAAUCGCCUAAGGUGCGCUGACCGGAAAUUUUUGUGGUCAUGGCUCAUUUUCUACGGCCUGCGAGUCUGGGGUGUUGUACGCUUCUUCAAGCACUUAACACAGGUCGAACAUAACACAGCGACUAACUUGGCAGAGAAAACUUUGAUGGUACUGCAGGCCCUGUGUGACACGGGACAGGCGUUCGUGAACUUCAUGCUUUUCUGCGUCUUCAACACGGACGUUAGGGCGCACUUUUCACGCAAGAGCGAACGACGCAUUAUGGAGGUUGUGGAGGAGGAGGAGGACGGGGAAAACGAAGAGAGAGUAGGAAUGCUGCAGAAAUAAAGAACUGGUGGCAGAUACAUAUUAAUAAACGUUUUUGCUUACUGCAUUGUGUUCCUUAACCGUAAUCAAAUAAGUUUGUUCGGGCAUCCCAAAACUCCAUGGGCCCACCCGCUGUUCGCUCCCCCCCCCCCCCCCGGCGAUUCUCCGACUUUCAAGAAUUUGUAUGACGGUACAAUUUCUUGAAGCGUGUUAAUCAAACAGGAAUCAUUGACAAGUUAACGCAAUUUCGUCACAUUCUUUUUAAUUUAACACAUGUCAACUUAUUACACACAAAAAGAUCACUUACUUUGUGAGUCAUACCGUGUAGUUCCUUAUCAAAACAAGAAAUGUGUUUGUCGGAAACACUAUGCGGCAAUUUGAAAUUAUUUUUUUUACCUUUGACCUUGAAGGAUGACCUUGACCUUUCACCACUCAAAAUGUGCAGCUCCAUGAGAUACGCAUGCAUGCCAAAUAUGAAGUUGGCUAUCUUCAAUAUUGCAAAAGUUAUGGCAAAAUGUUAAAAUUGGAGCAAACAAACAAACACACAAACAAACCAACCAACCAACAGACAGGGCAAAAACAAUAUGUCCCCCACUAUAGUGGUGAGGACAUAAAACGUUUAAUGGCGCCCGCUUGAACAGUCUUAAAUUAUAACAUACGUUUUAUACAUUUGCAGAUAUAAUUCCCUUGUAUGGAUUUAAAAAUAUAAUGAACUAUGUCAUUUUAAACAUGUCUGCACCCCCCCCCCCUUCCCUCCCAAACGGUCUUCCUAGUAUGUGCGUACAACUACAGUUGAAAUCAAAAAACAAUAUGGGUUCUAAUUCGCAUCAAAAUAUAUGUAAUUCCCUGGGUGUAGAGGAAUGACGAACGUUUUUACAUCGAAAGGUCCAUGGACCGAGUCUCGUCGUUGUUUAGUGUGUUUUUAAUUAUAACAAUAAAUGAACUAUACAAAAGAUAGUGAGAACAAUACCAUUAAUUUCCAAAGUCAAUAUUUCCCCUUUAUUAUAAACGAUAGAAAACAGUAUUUUUAAUUCCAAGAUAAAGGUGAUUAAUUCGUGCCUGGCCUGUAAAUGUGCCAUGUUAGCAAAUUGUUCUAUACGGGUUAAUUAUGAACUAUCCCUCAUUUCACAUAUUUAAACAUACGUUUGCAUAACUUAUCUAUUCUAUAUGGAAAUGUAUUUCUGAAUACUUAUGCUUAUGUGAGCAAUAUGAACUGAUCAGCAUGAAAUGUUUCGUACUUUAUUGCGUUCGUUACCAAAUGAGCGUUUUUCUUAGAAAACUGGGCAUAAUACAUGUGCGCAAAGUGUCGUCCCAGAUUAGCCCAUGCAGUCCGCACAGGCUAAUCAGGGACGGCACUUUCCGCCUAAACUUGAUUUUCGGUAAGGAGGGAUUUCCUUGAAACUAAAAAUACCAUAAAAGCGGAAAGUGUCGUCCCUGGGACGACACUUUACGCACAUGUAUUAUGCCCAGUUUUCUCAGAACGCGGUUCAAAUGAUAUACAACAUGCUAGUCAUACUUGGAAGCAGUGUAUGCUAGUUCUUGAUAAAACGAUAUGUGUCACUAAGUUAAAGGCUAAUAAAAGGUGACGAUCCGUAAUUAUUACCGAUUUUUAAAUAUUUUUUGCCAAUUUUAUUUAUAAAGGUUAUAAAAAAACAAUAAAUAUGCUAUUGGACAUUACCAUUAAAAAAUAAGCAAUAAAACUUGUUUUGAGUUUUAAAAAUGUGUGGAAGCAAAAGAUUAAGGGUUGGAGAUUUAAAAUGUCUGAGAGUCCUUUUUUUCUUAAACUUCGACUUUGGAUGGAGAAUACCAUGGCUAUAGGAAAUAUGCGAAAAAUAACAGAAAAUAGAAAUGUAGUAUUAUAUUUCUAAAACCAUAAGCAUACAAACAACCCGUAUAACAUUUAGAUUGGCUUAAAAACGCUGUGCAAAACGGUAAUAUUUAACCCAUUUAUG
Molecule: RNA transcript, 5606 nt
Organism: Dreissena polymorpha
Lineage: Eukaryota; Metazoa; Mollusca; Bivalvia; Myida; Dreissenidae
Gene name: G-protein coupled receptor 157-like
Exons: 11
Source: RefSeq, a predicted model, not a curated record